GUGAACGCUGGCGGUAGGCCUAACACAUGCAAGUCGAACGGCAGCACAGUAAGAGCUUGCUCUUACGGGUGGCGAGUGGCGGACGGGUGAGGAAUACAUCGGAAUCUACUUUUUCGUGGGGGAUAACGUAGGGAAACUUACGCUAAUACCGCAUACGACCUACGGGUGGAAGCAGGGGAUCUUCGGACCUUGCGCGAUUGAAUGAGCCGAUGUCGGAUUAGCUAGUUGGCGGGGUAAAGGCCCACCAAGGCGACGAUCCGUAGCUGGUCCGAGAGGAUGAUCAGCCACACUGGAACUGAGACACGGUCCAGACUCCUACGGGAGGCAGCAGUGGGGAAUAUUGGACAAUGGGCGCAAGCCUGAUCCAGCCAUACCGCGUGGGUGAAGAAGGCCUUCGGGUUGUAAAGCCCUUUUGUUGGGAAAGAAAAGCAGCAGGUUAAUACCCCGCUGUUCUGACGGUACCCAAAGAAUAAGCACCGGCUAACUUCGUG
RNAcentral lists this ribosomal RNA (491 nucleotides) under uncultured bacterium. RNAcentral's name for it is "partial 16S ribosomal RNA". It matches the Rfam family "Bacterial small subunit ribosomal RNA", at positions 29 to 507 of the family's 1533-position model. The record is from RNAcentral.